AGCGAACGCUGGCGGCGUGCCUAACACAUGCAAGUCGAACGUGAAAGGGAGCAAUCCCAAGUAAAGUGGCGUACGGGUGAGUAACACGUAGGUAAUCUACCCCAGAAUCUGGAAUAACCGGCCGAAAGGCUGGCUAAUACUGGAUAGAGCGACGGAAUCCGUAAUUGGGUUUUUCGGGAAAGGGAGCCUGUAAAAAGGCCUUCGUUCUGGGAUGAGCCUGCGUCCCAUCAGCUAGUUGGUGAGGUAAAAGCUUACCAAGGCAAGGACGGGUAGCUGGUCGGAGAGGACGAUCAGCCACACUGGAGCUGAAACACGGUCCAGACUCCUACGGGAGGCAGCAGUGGGGAAUCUUGCGCAAUGGACGAAAGUCUGACGCAGCAACGCCGCGUGAGUGAAGAAGGCCGUCGGGUUGUAAAGCUCUGUCGAGUGGGACGAAAAUGCUUGGAGUUCACAGCUCCAGGAACUGACGGUACCACUAAAGGAAGCACCGGCUAACUCCGUG
Molecule: ribosomal RNA, 502 nt
Filed under: uncultured bacterium
Lineage: Bacteria
Description: partial 16S ribosomal RNA
Rfam family: Bacterial small subunit ribosomal RNA
Source: RNAcentral